GAUGAAGAACGUAGCGAAAUGCGAUAAGUAGUGUGAAUUGCAGAAUUCAGUGAAUCAUCGAAUCUUUGAACGCACAUUCCGCCCCAUGGUAUUCCGUGGGGCAUGCCUGUUCGAGCGUCAUUUACCCCCUCAAGCUCCGCUUGGUGUUGGGCGUCUGUCCCGCUUCGCGCGCGGACUCGCCCCAAAGGUAUUGGCAGCGGUCGUGCCAGCUUCUCGCGCAGCACAUUGCGCUUCUCGAGGCACCGGUGGGCCCGCGUCCAUCAAGCUCACCCCCCCAGUUUGACCUCGGAUCAGGUAGGGAUACCCGCUGAACUUAAGCAUAUCAAUAAGCGGAGGA
This 337-nucleotide unclassified non-coding RNA is filed under the name soil metagenome. RNAcentral's name for it is "partial contains 5.8S ribosomal RNA, internal transcribed spacer 2, and large subunit ribosomal RNA". The stretch from base 1 to 120 matches the Rfam family "5.8S ribosomal RNA", at positions 35 to 154 of the family's 154-position model. The record is from RNAcentral.